Molecule: ribosomal RNA, 255 nt
Filed under: uncultured bacterium
Lineage: Bacteria
Description: partial 16S ribosomal RNA
Rfam family: Bacterial small subunit ribosomal RNA
Source: RNAcentral
UACGGAGGGUGCAAGCGUUGUCCGGAAUCACUGGGCGUAAAGGGCGCGUAGGCGGCUCAUGAAGGCUGUGGUGAAAGUCCGGGGCUCAACCUCGGAUCGGCCGUGGCGACUCGUGGGCUGGAGCACUGUAGAGGCGGGUGGAAUUCCGGGUGUAGCGGUGGAAUGCGUAGAGAUCCGGAAGAACACCGGUGGCGAAGGCGGCCUGCUGGGCAGUUUUGCUGACACUGAGGCGCGACAGCGUGGGGAGCAAACAGG